RNAcentral lists this ribosomal RNA (317 nucleotides) under uncultured archaeon. RNAcentral's name for it is "bacterial SSU rRNA". It matches the Rfam family "Archaeal small subunit ribosomal RNA", at positions 1027 to 1343 of the family's 1478-position model. The record is from RNAcentral.
GGUUAAGUCAGGCAACGAGCGAGACCCGUACCCACAGUUGCCAGCGGCUGCUCCGGCAGGCUGGGUACACUAUGGGGACCGCCUCUGCUAAAGAGGAGGAAGGAGCGGGCGACGGUAGGUCAGUAUGCCCCGAAUUCUCCGGGCUACACGCGGGCUACAAUGGAUGGGACAAUGGGUCCCGACACCGAAAGGUGAAGGCAAUCUCUUAACCCCAUUCUUAGUUCGGAUUGAGGGCUGAAACUCGCCCUCAUGAAGCUGGAAUCCGUAGUAAUCGCGUUUCAACAUAGCGCGGUGAAUACGUCCCUGCUCCUUGCACA